RNAcentral lists this ribosomal RNA (109 nucleotides) under Oncorhynchus kisutch (coho salmon). The record is from RNAcentral. Lineage: Eukaryota; Metazoa; Chordata; Actinopteri; Salmoniformes; Salmonidae.
GCUUAUGACCACACCGGCCUGAGUACGCCUGAUCUCGGAAGCUAAGCAGGGUCAGGCCUGGUUAGUACUUGGAUGGGAGACCACCUGGGAAUACCAGGUGCUGUAAGCG